UGGGGAAUAUUGGACAAUGGGCGCAAGCCUGAUCCAGCAAUGCCGCGUGUGUGAAGAAGGUUUUCGGAUUGUAAAGCACUUUCGGCGGGGACGAUGAUGACGGUACCCGCAGAAGAAGCCCCGGCUAACUUCGUGCCAGCAGCCGCGGUAAUACGAAGGGGGCUAGCGUUGCUCGGAAUGACUGGGCGUAAAGGGCGCGUAGGCGGAUGGAACAGUCAGAUGUGAAAUUCCUGGGCUCAACCUGGGGGCUGCAUUUGAUACGUUUGAUCUAGAGUGAGGAAGAGGGUCGUGGAAUUCCCAGUGUAGAGGUGAAAUUCGUAGAUAUUGGGAAGAACACCGGUGGCGAAGGCGGCGACCUGGUCCUUUUACUGACGCUGAGGCGCGAAAGCGUGGGGAGCAAACAGGAUUAGAUACCCUGGUAGUCCACGCUGUAAACGAUGUGUGCUGGAUGUUGGGGACCCUAGGUCUUCAGUGUCGAAGCUAACGCGCUAAGCACACCGCCUGGGGAGUAC
Molecule: ribosomal RNA, 512 nt
Filed under: uncultured bacterium
Lineage: Bacteria
Description: bacterial SSU rRNA
Rfam family: Bacterial small subunit ribosomal RNA
Source: RNAcentral